CCUACGGGAGGCUGCAGUGGGGAAUAUUGGACAAUGGGGGCAACCCUGAUCCAGCCAUGCCGCGUGUGUGAAGAAGGCCCUCGGGUUGUAAAGCACUUUCAGUGAGGAAGAACGCCUGGUGGUUAAUACCCAUCAGGAAAGACAUCACUCACAGAAGAAGCACCGGCUAACUCCGUGCCAGCAGCCGCGGUAAUACGGAGGGUGCGAGCGUUAAUCGGAAUUACUGGGCGUAAAGCGCGCGUAGGUGGCUUGAUAAGCCGGUUGUGAAAGCCACGGGCUCAACCUGGGAACGGCAUCCGGAACUGUCAAGCUAGAGUGCAGGAGAGGAAGGUAGAAUUCCCGGUGUAGCGGUGAAAUGCGUAGAGAUCGGGAGGAAUACCAGUGGCGAAGGCGGCCUUAUGGACUGACACUGACACUGAGGUGCGAAAGCGUGGGUAGCAAACAGGAUUAGAUACCCCAGUAGUC
Molecule: ribosomal RNA, 465 nt
Filed under: Vreelandella stevensii
Lineage: Bacteria; Pseudomonadati; Pseudomonadota; Gammaproteobacteria; Oceanospirillales; Halomonadaceae
Description: partial 16S ribosomal RNA
Rfam family: Bacterial small subunit ribosomal RNA
Source: RNAcentral